Long non-coding RNA from Cryptomeria japonica (Japanese cedar), 231 nucleotides. RefSeq lists it as uncharacterized. The record is from RefSeq and is a predicted model, not a curated record. Lineage: Eukaryota; Viridiplantae; Streptophyta; Pinopsida; Cupressales; Cupressaceae. The transcript is spliced from 2 exons.
AACUUUGGCAAAUUUAUUCGUUUCGUGCAAUCCUCUCUUACUUCUAACACAAAGCGGUGGACUUUCACAGGAUUUCAAGCAUAGCACAGACUAACGAUCUGCUUGAUAUUACUGAGCUGGUUCUAUUGGGCAAAUCAAGAAUGGAAGCCAAAAGCACAAGUCUAGUUUUGAUGGGGCGUACAGGCAAUGGGAAGAGCUCAACUGGUAAUUCCAUCCUUGAGCGAAAUGACU